GCGGAUUUAGCUCAGUUGGGAGAGCGCCAGACUGAAGAUUUGGAGGUCCUGUGUUCGAUCCACAGAAUUCGCACCA
Molecule: transfer RNA, 76 nt
Filed under: Saccharomyces cerevisiae (brewer's yeast)
Lineage: Eukaryota; Fungi; Ascomycota; Saccharomycetes; Saccharomycetales; Saccharomycetaceae
Rfam family: tRNA
About the family: Transfer RNA (tRNA) molecules are approximately 80 nucleotides in length. Their secondary structure includes four short double-helical elements and three loops (D, anti-codon, and T loops). Further hydrogen bonds mediate the characteristic L-shaped molecular structure. tRNAs have two regions of fundamental functional importance: the anti-codon, which is responsible for specific mRNA codon recognition, and the 3' end, to which the tRNAs corresponding amino acid is attached (by aminoacyl-tRNA synthetases). tRNAs cope with the degeneracy of the genetic code in two manners: having more than one tRNA (with a specific anti-codon) for a particular amino acid; and 'wobble' base-pairing, i.e. permitting non-standard base-pairing at the 3rd anti-codon position.
Source: RNAcentral